This 2142-nucleotide ribosomal RNA is filed under the name Mecyclothorax vulcanus. Its description in RNAcentral is "18S ribosomal RNA". It matches the Rfam family "Eukaryotic small subunit ribosomal RNA". Lineage: Eukaryota; Metazoa; Arthropoda; Insecta; Coleoptera; Carabidae. The record is from RNAcentral.
AACCUGGUUGAUCCUGCCAGUAGUCAUAUGCUUGUCUCAAAGAUUAAGCCAUGCAUGUCUAAGUACAAGCCAAAUUAAGGUGAAACCGCGAAAGGCUCAUUAAAUCAGUUAUGGUUCCUUAGAUCGUACCACACAUUUACUUGGAUAACUGUGGUAAUUCUAGAGCUAAUACAUGCAAACAGAGCUCUGACCAGAGAUGGGAGGAGUGCUUUUAUUAGAUCAAAACCAAACGGCAGCAGUCAUUACUUUCGGGUGUGGCUGUGUUUGUCGAUUUUAUGAUUGGUGACUCUGAAUAACUUUAUGCUGAUCGCAUGGUCUUGUACCGGCGACGCAUCUUUCAAAUGUCUGCCUUAUCAACUGUCGAUGGUAAGAUCUGCGCUUACCAUGGUUGUAACGGGUAACGGGGAAUCAGGGUUCGAUUCCGGAGAGGGAGCCUGAGAAACGGCUACCACAUCCAAGGAAGGCAGCAGGCGCGCAAAUUACCCACUCCCGGCACGGGGAGGUAGUGACGAAAAAUAACGAUACGGGACUCAUCCGAGGCCCCGUAAUCGGAAUGAGUACACUUUAAAUCCUUUAACAAGGACCAAUUGGAGGGCCAGUCUGGUGCCAGCAGCCGCGGUAAUUCCAGCUCCAAUAGCGUAUAUUAAAGUUGUUGCGGUUAAAAAGCUCGUAGUUGAAUCUGUGUCCCGUGCUGUCGGUUCACUGCUCGUCAGUGAUCACUGGCAUGUUCACGGGACGUCCUGCCGGUGGAUGUGUGUGUUUGAUACAAGAGUCUCUAUUAUGUCUAGCUAUAUUACACACUUUUUGCAUGCGCCUCUUUCUUCCUUAACCGGGGUUAAAGGCAGUGCAUUAAGUUCAGUGUGUAUGGGCGGUAGUAGGUAAGACGUGUAUUCAAUCACCGUCCUAGUAAUAUAUCCUGUCGCAGUGCUCUUAAUUGAGUGUUGAGGCGGGCCGGCACGUUUACUUUGAACAAAUUAGAGUGCUCAAAGCAGGCUCAUUUAUGCCUGAAUAUUGUGUGCAUGGAAUAAUGGAACAGGACCUCGGUUCUAUUUUGUUGGUUUUCGGAAUAAUCCGAGGUAAUGAUUAAUAGGGACAGAUGGGGGCAUUCGUAUUGCAACGUUAGAGGUGAAAUUCUUGGAUCGUUGCAAGACGGACUAAAGCGAAAGCAUUUGCCAAAGAUGUUUUCAUUAAUCAAGAACGAAAGUCAGAGGUUCGAAGGCGAUCAGAUACCGCCCUAGUUCUGACCAUAAACGAUGCCAGCUAGCGAUCCGCCGACGUUCCUCCGAUGACUCGGCGGGCAGCUUCCGGGAAACCAAAGCUUUUGGGUUCCGGGGGAAGUAUGGUUGCAAAGCUGAAACUUAAAGGAAUUGACGGAAGGGCACCACCAGGAGUGGAGCCUGCGGCUUAAUUUGACUCAACACGGGAAACCUCACCAGGCCCAGACACUGGAAGGAUUGACAGAUUGAGAGCUCUUUCUUGAUUCAGUGGGUGGUGGUGCAUGGCCGUUCUUAGUUGGUGAAGCGAUUUGUCUGGUUAAUUCCGAUAACGAACGAGACUCUAGCCUGCUAACUAGGCGUAACCAAAUACCGGUAUCUUGAAGGCUCCGACACUUGUUCCGUGAUGUUCAUUCUGUGCGCAUUACUUUUGGUUCGUAGUUGAAUCGUUACUAUUUGUACUUGUGCAAAUGUGUGCGGUUUGCUGCGGGUCGGGUGUGUUGUAUGGGUGGCUCUGGAAUGAUGUUGUUGGGUUUUUACUACCGGCGUAUAUAUACAAUCUUCUUAGAGGGACAGGCGGCUUCUAGCCGCACGAGAUUGAGCAAUAACAGGUCUGUGAUGCCCUUAGAUGUUUUGGGCCGCACGCGCGCUACACUGAAGGAAUCAGCGUGUCUUCCCUGGCCGAAAGGUCCGGGUAACCCGCUGAACCUCCUUCGUGCUAGGGAUUGGGGCUUGCAAUUAUUCCCCAUGAACGAGGAAUUCCCAGUAAGCGUGAGUCAUAAGCUCGCGUUGAUUACGUCCCUGCCCUUUGUACACACCGCCCGUCGCUACUACCGAUUGAAUGAUUUAGUGAGGUCUUCAGACUGGUACUCGGUGAUGUUUCGUACAUUACCGAAGUACGCUAGGAAGAUGACCAAACUUGAUUAAU